Long non-coding RNA from Lates calcarifer (barramundi perch), 1020 nucleotides. RefSeq lists it as uncharacterized. NCBI's taxonomy places the organism in Eukaryota, Metazoa, Chordata, Actinopteri, Centropomidae. The transcript is spliced from 5 exons. The record is from RefSeq and is a predicted model, not a curated record.
UCCAUUAGCGAGCAUUGGAAAAUAAAAGAGAGGAUAACAUAUCAUUAGUAAGCACAAAGGGCAGCAAAGUGCUGACGCAGACUGUGCAGAAGCAGAAUAAAGAAAGCCUAUAGGACAACCCUGAACAGUUUACCCACUGAAGCUUGAAGUAAUGACUACAUACUGCAGAUGUAGGUCAAAAAAAGGGGGGGCAUCAGGAGAGGCUGCUGUUAGAGAGAGUUCAACUGUAGGAUGUAUUGAUUUAAUGACACAGAAGGCAAAGUGUAAGUACAGCUCAGGGUUUUUUUAUUGCUGAGAUUCACCCUUCUGUUUUGUGUGUUAAAGAUGUUUUUCUGAACUCUCAGAGUUUUCUUACUGCAACCUUUGCUAAACCUUUCCACCAACAGUAACUGUCCAGUGGUUGCUCAGCAACUAAAACUGUGCAGAGCAAGUUUGUCAAGCUUCAAGUAGCUUCCCAUCGUUAGCCUAGCACGCUAGGUGCACAGCACAUGAACUGUGUGUUUCCAGCAGCAGCAGACAAGCUUUUAUACACCCUGUCCUGCACCAAACAGCAGAUGGACAGGAUAAGGUGUGUUUGUCCAGAGCGACUCAGCGCUAAUACUUCAGUGCAGUCAGAGACCCUGAUGAGGAUGACUUCAUAGAGAGGCAGGGAUGGGAAACAGAUAGAAGGCUUGACAAGGGCACUACAUGACAUGUAACUGCUGUACACCCAGGCUGACAACAGCUGCCAUCGUCUGAAAAGAAGCCACAUUUCCAGCUACAGUGUGUCAGUACCUGUUCUUCAAAAGACAGCUCUUCAGUAGAGAAAAGGUGUAAAUACGAGAAUAUUUUCCAGGAGUUUGGACAAUGGACAGCCAUGGUUACAAGAUGGGAUUAGACACAGUAGUCGGUCUGAAAAUGAAAAGCAACACAAGGAAAAAUCACGAGCAGGAGGAGGCUCUGUCUCAACAGCUCCCAGAGGAUGGCCCAGAGGUAGGUGCUAAAUUACAAACUAAUAAACUAAAUGCAGAAUUGGUGCAA